UGGGGAAUAUUGCACAAUGGGCGAAAGCCUGAUGCAGCAACGCCGCGUGAGUGAUGAAGGCCUUCGGGUUGUAAAGCUCUGUCUUUUGGGACGAUAAUGACGGUACCAAAGGAGGAAGCCACGGCUAACUACGUGCCAGCAGCCGCGGUAAUACGUAGGUGGCAAGCGUUGUCCGGAUUUACUGGGCGUAAAGGAUGCGUAGGCGGAUUUUUAAGUGAGAUGUGAAAACCCUAAGCUUAACUUGGGGACUGCAUUUCAUACUGGAAAUCUAGAGUGCGGGAGAGGAGAAUGGAAUUCCUAGUGUAGCGGUGAAAUGCGUAGAGAUUAGGAAGAACACCAGUGGCGAAGGCGAUUCUCUGGACCGUAACUGACGCUGAGGCAUGAAAGCGUGGGUAGCAAACAGGAUUAGAUACCCUGGUAGUCCACGCCGUAAACGAUGAGUACUAGGUGUAGGAGGUAUCGACCCCUUCUGUGCCGCAGUUAACACAAUAAGUACUCCGCCUGGGAAGUACGAUCGCAAGAUUAAAAACUUAAAGGAAUUGACGGGGUCAUAGCUGUUUCCU
Molecule: ribosomal RNA, 563 nt
Filed under: uncultured bacterium
Lineage: Bacteria
Description: partial 16S ribosomal RNA
Rfam family: Bacterial small subunit ribosomal RNA
Source: RNAcentral